GAUGAACGCUGGCGGCGUGCCUAAUACAUGCAAGUCGAGCGAACAGAUAAGGAGCUUGCUCCUUUGAAGUUAGCGGCGGACGGGUGAGUAACACGUGGGUAACCUACCUAUAAGACUGGGAUAACUUCGAGAAACCGGAGCUAAUACCGGAUAACAUUUAGAACCGCAUGGUUCUAAGGUGAAAGAUGGUUUUGCUAUCACUUAUAGAUGGACCCGCGCCGUAUUAGCUGGUUGGUAAGGUAAAGGCUUACCAAGGCGACGAUACGUAGCCGACCUGAGAGGGGGGUCGGCCACACGGGAACGGAGACACGGUCCAUGCUCCUACGGGAGGCAGCAGUCGGGAAUCUGCCGCAAUGGGCGAAAGCCUGACGGAGCAACGCCGCGUGAGUGAUGAAGGGUUUCGGUUCGUAAAACUCGGUUAUUAGGGAAGAACAAAUGUGUAAGUAACUGUGCACAGCUUGACGGUACCUAGUCAGAAAGCCACGGCUAACUACGUG
RNAcentral lists this ribosomal RNA (497 nucleotides) under uncultured bacterium. RNAcentral describes it as "partial 16S ribosomal RNA". It matches the Rfam family "Bacterial small subunit ribosomal RNA", at positions 28 to 507 of the family's 1533-position model. The record is from RNAcentral.